This 1425-nucleotide ribosomal RNA is filed under the name Salmonella enterica subsp. enterica serovar Ohio. RNAcentral's name for it is "partial 23S ribosomal RNA". It matches the Rfam family "Bacterial large subunit ribosomal RNA", at positions 810 to 2215 of the family's 2925-position model. The record is from RNAcentral. Lineage: Bacteria; Pseudomonadati; Pseudomonadota; Gammaproteobacteria; Enterobacterales; Enterobacteriaceae.
UGUGGCUGGGGGUGAAAGGCCAAUCAAACCGGGAGAUAGCUGGUUCUCCCCGAAAGCUAUUUAGGUAGCGCCUCGUGAAUUCAUCUCCGGGGGUAGAGCACUGUUUCGGCUAGGGGGCCAUCCCGGCUUACCAACCCGAUGCAAACUGCGAAUACCGGAGAAUGUUAUCACGGGAGACACACGGCGGGUGCUAACGUCCGUCGUGAAGAGGGAAACAACCCAGACCGCCAGCUAAGGUCCCAAAGUCAUGGUUAAGUGGGAAACGAUGUGGGAAGGCCCAGACAGCCAGGAUGUUGGCUUAGAAGCAGCCAUCAUUUAAAGAAAGCGUAAUAGCUCACUGGUCGAGUCGGCCUGCGCGGAAGAUGUAACGGGGCUAAACCAUGCACCGAAGCUGCGGCAGCGACGCUGAUGCGUUGUUGGGUAGGGGAGCGUUCUGUAAGCCUGCGAAGGUGGCCUGUGAGGGUUGCUGGAGGUAUCAGAAGUGCGAAUGCUGACAUAAGUAACGAUAAAGCGGGUGAAAAGCCCGCUCGCCGGAAGACCAAGGGUUCCUGUCCAACGUUAAUCGGGGCAGGGUGAGUCGACCCCUAAGGCGAGGCCGAAAGGCGUAGUCGAUGGGAAACGGGUUAAUAUUCCCGUACUUGGUGUUACUGCGAAGGGGGGACGGAGAAGGCUAUGUUGGCCGGGCGACGGUUGUCCCGGUUUAAGCGUGUAGGUGUGUGUUCCAGGUAAAUCCGGUUCACUUUAACACUGAGGCGUGAUGACGAGGCACUACGGUGCUGAAGCAACAAAUGCCCUGCUUCCAGGAAAAGCCUCUAAGCAUCAGGUAACAUCAAAUCGUACCCCAAACCGACACAGGUGGUCAGGUAGAGAAUACCAAGGCGCUUGAGAGAACUCGGGUGAAGGAACUAGGCAAAAUGGUGCCGUAACUUCGGGAGAAGGCACGCUGACACGUAGGUGAAGUGAUUUACUCAUGGAGCUGAAGUCAGUCGAAGAUACCAGCUGGCUGCAACUGUUUAUUAAAAACACAGCACUGUGCAAACACGAAAGUGGACGUAUACGGUGUGACGCCUGCCCGGUGCCGGAAGGUUAAUUGAUGGGGUCAGCGCAAGCGAAGCUCCUGAUCGAAGCCCCGGUAAACGGCGGCCGUAACUAUAACGGUCCUAAGGUAGCGAAAUUCCUUGUCGGGUAAGUUCCGACCUGCACGAAUGGCGUAAUGAUGGCCAGGCUGUCUCCACCCGAGACUCAGUGAAAUUGAACUCGCUGUGAAGAUGCAGUGUACCCGCGGCAAGACGGAAAGACCCCGUGAACCUUUACUAUAGCUUGACACUGAACAUUGAGCCUUGAUGUGUAGGAUAGGUGGGAGGCUUUGAAGUGUGGACGCCAGUCUGCAUGGAGCCGACCUUGAAAUACCACCCUUUAAUGUUU